This 447-nucleotide ribosomal RNA is filed under the name uncultured bacterium. RNAcentral describes it as "bacterial SSU rRNA". It matches the Rfam family "Bacterial small subunit ribosomal RNA", at positions 80 to 518 of the family's 1533-position model. The record is from RNAcentral.
CAAUACUGCCGGCGACCGGCGCAAGGGUGCGUAACGCGUGAGCAACAUGCCCGUAUCAGGGGGGAUAAUCCCAAUGGGAAACGUGGUCUAAUACCCCAUAGUAAUUAAUGUAAGGCAUCUUAUAUAAUUUAAAGCUUUGGUGGAUACGGAUUGGCUCGCGUGACAUUAGCUAGAUGGUAAGGUAACGGCUUACCAUGGCUACGAUGUCUAGGGGUUCUGAGAGGAAGGUCCCCCACACUGGAACUGAGACACGGUCCAGACUCCUACGGGAGGCAGCAGUGAGGAAUAUUGGACAAUGGAUGGAAAUCUGAUCCAGCCAUGCCGCGUGCAGGAAGAACCGGCCCUAUGGGUUGUAAACUGCUUUUGCAUGGGAGCAAUAAGGGCUACGCGUAGUCCGAUGAGAGUACCAUACGAAUAAGCACCGGCUAACUCCGUGCCAGCAGCGGC